UUCAGGUGUUUCAGAGGUUCAGGCGUUUCAGAGGUUCAGGUGUUUCAGGAGGUUCAGGGGUUUAAGGUGUUUCAAAGGUUCAGGUGUUUCAGAGGUUCAGGGGUUUCAGAGUUUCAGGUGUUUCAGAGGUUCAGUUGUUUUAGAGGUUCAAGGGUUUCACAGUUUCAGGUGUUUCAGAGGUUCAGGUGUUUCAGAGGUUCAGGUGUUUCAGAGGUUCAGGUGUUUCAGAGGUUCAAGGGUUUCACAGUUUCAGGUGUUUCAGAGGUUCAGGUGUUUCAGAGGUUCAGGUGUUUCAGAGGUUCAGGUGUUUCAGAGGUUCAGGUGUUUCAGAGGUUCAGGUGUUUCAGAGGUUCAGGUGUUUCUGAGGUUCAGGUGUUUCUGAGGUUCAGGUGUUUCUGAGGUUCAGGUGUUUCAGCGGGUUAGGUGUUUCUGAGGUUCAGGUGUUUCAGAGGUUCAGGGGUUUCAGUGGUUACAGAGGUUCAGGUUUUAGGUGUUUCAGAGGUUCAGGUGUGGUGUUUUAGAAGGGGUGUACAGU
Molecule: long non-coding RNA, 535 nt
Organism: Astyanax mexicanus (Mexican tetra)
Lineage: Eukaryota; Metazoa; Chordata; Actinopteri; Characiformes; Acestrorhamphidae
Exons: 3
Source: RefSeq, a predicted model, not a curated record